UACGUAGGGUGCGAGCGUUAAUCGGAAUUACUGGGCGUAAAGCGUGCGUAGGCGGUUUUGUAAGCCAGAUGUGAAAUCCCCGGGCUUAACCUGGGAAUGGCAUUUGGGACUGCAAGGCUCGAGUGCGGCAGAGGAGACUGGAAUUCCUGGUGUAGCAGUGAAAUGCGUAGAUAUCAGGAGGAACACCGAUGGCGAAGGCAGGUCUCUGGGCUGACACUGACGCUCAUGCACGAAAGCGUGGGGAGCAAACAGG
Molecule: ribosomal RNA, 253 nt
Filed under: uncultured bacterium
Lineage: Bacteria
Description: partial 16S ribosomal RNA
Rfam family: Bacterial small subunit ribosomal RNA
Source: RNAcentral